RNAcentral lists this unclassified non-coding RNA (290 nucleotides) under Hyphopichia buzzinii. RNAcentral's name for it is "sequence contains ITS1, 5.8S rRNA gene and ITS2". The stretch from base 45 to 195 matches the Rfam family "5.8S ribosomal RNA". Rfam says of the family: 5.8S ribosomal RNA (5.8S rRNA) is a component of the large subunit of the eukaryotic ribosome. It is transcribed by RNA polymerase I as part of the 45S precursor that also contains 18S and 28S rRNA. The record is from RNAcentral. Lineage: Eukaryota; Fungi; Ascomycota; Pichiomycetes; Serinales; Debaryomycetaceae.
AGUUAUAUACCAUACACAACUAAGUAAGUCAAAAAACUAAUCAAAACUUUCAACAACGGAUCUCUUGGUUCUCGCAUCGAUGAAGAACGCAGCGAAAUGCGAUACGUAAUAUGAAUUGCAGAUUGUGAAUCAUCGAAUCUUUGAACGCACAUUGCGCCGUGCGGCAUUCCGCACGGCAUGCGGGGAUGAGCGUGGUUUCUCUCUCUACUACGUAGGCUGUGGGCGCGGCGCUGCCCGCCUGAAAGAGACCACAAUGAUACUAAAAACAAAAACAUCUACCUCAUCUCCGU